This 20-nucleotide unclassified non-coding RNA is filed under the name Mus musculus (house mouse). Its description in RNAcentral is "oocyte_clustered_small_RNA7140". The record is from RNAcentral. Lineage: Eukaryota; Metazoa; Chordata; Mammalia; Rodentia; Muridae.
CUGCUAAGCCCUGCCUAUGC